Molecule: transfer RNA, 76 nt
Filed under: Candidatus Nucleicultrix amoebiphila FS5
Lineage: Bacteria; Pseudomonadati; Pseudomonadota; Alphaproteobacteria; Holosporales; Nucleicultricaceae (SeqCode)
Description: tRNA-Trp
Rfam family: tRNA
About the family: Transfer RNA (tRNA) molecules are approximately 80 nucleotides in length. Their secondary structure includes four short double-helical elements and three loops (D, anti-codon, and T loops).
Source: RNAcentral
AGGAGUGUAGCUCAACUGGCAGAGCGUCGGUCUCCAAAACCGAAGGUUGUGGGUUCGAGUCCCCCCACUCCUGCCA